UUACGGUUAGGCCACGCCCCCUACGUGAUGAGGGUGCGUGGGUGGGAUGGGCCCUCCCCCCUCCCCUCCCCUCCCCGGUAAAUACCCCAGGGGUAGACCAGACGUACCUACUACCUCCGUUCGAGAGCCACAAUCCAAUCAGUCAUCGAGGCCCCCAGAGCGCAUGCGCACACCCGCGCCAGCGCCACCACCUGGCUCCGCGUGACGUAAAUGAAAGAAAAUCUCCCGACACAAGUGGAUUAGUGGGAGUUGGGAGGGGACGGGCAUCAGGUCGGUCCCGCGCGCGCUUCUGCCUGCUUCCAGCCGCGUGGACGGUGAAGGUGAGACAGGUCCGCCGCUGCUGUCAGAACUUCAGAAGAAGAAGAAGAAGAAGAAGAAGAGGAAGAGGAGGAGGAAGAGGAGGAGGACAUGGACAGAAGGAAGCCCCAAAGAAAGUGAAGCUUCCCCGCCAGGAGCCGCAGGAUGGGGAUGGACCUCAGCGCCCUGCGGAGCCUCAUCAGCCGCAUCAACCGAUACGAAAAUCUUUUGUCUUUCUGUUGGAGUGAAUUCUCAGAAAUGAUGAUGUGGAGGACAAAAAAAAACAAGACAUCUGCAGGGAGAAGAGGAGUUAUCCAGAAGAUAGAGAAGCAUUUGUCCGUCUCCGUGGAGACCUGCGGAGGGGAUUUCAUUACUGUGGAAUGUGAAAUGCUCUCCAGACUGGCUGCUAAUGGAGGAGCAUAAAUGUCUGAUGAGCAGAGACCCGGCAGUCAGGCGCUCCGCACCGGCUGGAACUCUGGACCCCUGAAAGUGUGGGAGUUCAUGAACCCAAACAGGAAGUCCUCAAACCCAAACAGGAUUCACUUCUCUCAGGUUUCUUAAUGUUUUUAUACAGAUAUGUUGAAAAAAAACAAGUCCUCAUCAAACUGUCUUCCUGACAUUCACACUCACAUGACUGGAGCGUUAAGGCGGGGUCAUGUGGAGGGUCAUGUGACCGUCAGCGCCACUUGCACGUGGUUUUUUCUCACACCAACACAAUGAAGUGACAGCAGUAAGUUUAUACGGCCUGCAGGGAAUCCAGAACAAAGCUCCUCUGUUCUGCAGAAACGCCGUUUGUCUCUCCCUUUUCUUCACUUUCCAUACCGGCGUGUGAACUUCCAGCUCCGGGAAGCAGGAAAAAAAAAUGUGUAGUUUUUUGAUGUUCAAUUAAAAUAAAAACUUUUUUUUUUAAAAAACAUUUACCACCUCAAUCCCGUAUUUAUACUUUUUUUGUAAUCCUUUGAGGUCAAAUGAGGCAGAAUAAUCUCACCUAAACUGAGAAAAUGUACAUUAUUUCUGCCGAAUGAUCUUAAAUUAAGGAUUUUAAAAGAAAACAAUAAAGUUGGACUCAUCAAUGAUGAUUUUAUCUACAUAUUAAAGAGUUUUAUCUCAACAAAAUGGAC
RNAcentral lists this long non-coding RNA (1418 nucleotides) under Oryzias javanicus (javanese ricefish). RNAcentral's name for it is "lncRNA (ENSOJAG00000012092.1)". The record is from RNAcentral. Lineage: Eukaryota; Metazoa; Chordata; Actinopteri; Beloniformes; Adrianichthyidae.